Non-coding RNA from Musa acuminata subsp. malaccensis (wild Malaysian banana), 2997 nucleotides. The record is from RefSeq and is a predicted model, not a curated record. Lineage: Eukaryota; Viridiplantae; Streptophyta; Magnoliopsida; Zingiberales; Musaceae.
GACUGCAUGAUGCUUUAAGAGUAGGAAAAGAAUGGGUUUUGUAUGCUUCUGAUGAGUUUAUUACUCAUAAUUGUAAGCAAGAUAAAACAUGUUACCUUCGUGUUCUUAUGAUGUGAUACUAAGGCUGAUGUUGCUUUACAACUGGAAAAAUUUUUCUACUCUGCUGCACUGAUGCUCUUGUAUGUACUUUGCAUCCUUUCCAAUUUAAUGAAUCUUGAUUCACUACAGGGAACAAAUUGCAUUGUGACUGAACUAGGUUUGUAAAUUAUGUGUCAAUUUCAAGGAUCACAUGUUCCCCAAGAGCUGCUAUUGAUGAUCUUUAAUUUGUAUGAAUUGCUUAUAGUACUUGGUUCUAGGUGGGCGUUGGUCAGAGCUUUUGUAUAUCCAAUUAAUGUAUACAACAUGCAAGCAUUACUUUUUAGUAUGACUUAUUUCUCUGGAAAGUCCUACCAAAAAGAAUAGAAAUAUCUGGAAAUUUUAUGCAUUUAUAAAUUAGUACAUAGGAGAUGGUGUAGGAGUUUGACUAACACUGGAUGGAGCUAACAAAGUUGCAGUAGAGGAUUUGACAUGUUAUCAGUUGAGAAGUGGGAAAAAGAAAAGGCAUUUCAAUAGCAAAUAGUUUAUAAAGAUGAUAAUCAGAUUAUUAGAGCACUAGACUUUGUAGAAGAAUAAUGCUUUUAGCAUAAAAUUGUCACCUUAUGGACAGUGUUUGAUGUUAUGUAAAUAUAUGUUCUAGUGCAGGUGUAUUAAUAUAUGUGUAUAUAUGUUGUGAAAGAUCACGAUGAAGAGUAAUUUUUAAUUGCUUUGCACCUUUCAUCAGCUCAACUAAGAACCAAAAAUAUGCAGCUUGUGCAUGAAGUAUAUAUAUGACUUUGGACUAUAUUUACCUAACCGGCAUGUGAAAUUACUUGCCGUCUGUACAACUUUGGAGUUGGCUGUUACUCUUUUUUUAUCUCUUGAAGUUUGUCAACUGUGUACAUAGCUUUAAUGUGUCUUGUGAUUAUGUGUCAUUACGAGACCUUCCAUCUUUAUCAUCUUGAGGGAACUGCUUCUGUACAGUGUACCCUGUAUGUUGGCUACAGCUCUUAACAGUUAUUCAUGGAUAACUUUGUUUUUUAUGGGUAUUUUGAACCUUACUUUUGUUAAUUGUGUUUGUGAGGUUUUCAUUAUCUACUACUUUCUUCUUAUGUCAAUUUGUACUUUAAUAUUGGUUGAUGAUGUAAUUGUGUUGGAACGGCAGUGCAGUGUCUGAAUAAAGAAGCUAUGAUGAAAGGAGAUGCAGUUGACAGAAAAUGCUUCUCAGAAAAUCACAGAAGUUUAGUUGCUUAUAUGCAUUUUCAGAAUUGAGCAUAUUGAUUUCAAUAGAGGUUGUUGGAGGUUGAGAAGACAGGAAGCACAUUUGGUCAACUUAAAGUUUAUAUUUCUUAUCUUGCUACUUUAAAUCAAGAAAGGUCAUGCUAGAUGUGGCGAAGGGCUGGAUGGAAUUAGAAUACUUAUGAAUAAGACAUCUAGCCCUAACCUUAGUUCUUUUUUGCUUUAUCUCAGUUUUUUCAGUUAUUUAUUAUUUCCUAUUGAAUCUUCAGUUCCAAUUGUUUUGACUGAUAUGCAUAACUAUUUUUGUUUCAGAACAAGAUGGCUAAAAUUCAGUUGAUUUAUCCCUACUAGAUUUAACCCAGAACAUUGUUGUGCUCAUUGCUGGUUCCAUAAAUUGUUUAUUUUUUGUGUGCUUGUGCUGUUUUCCAGUUAAUUUGAUAUUAACAUACAUAUCUUGUUAUACAAAAAUCAACUCUCGUUCUAUACUAAAUCGACUCUUAUUUUCUUAUUCUUCUAAAUAAUUAACUAGAUCUGAAAUAUAAGGUAACUAUGCAUAUGAUUGUUUCGAUAUACAAAUAAUGGUUGUGUAUAGGCCUUUGUGGCUAAAGCAUUUGUUGUCAUCAACUCUCGAUUUUCAUGGUUGAGAUUUUAUUCUUGACCAUAGCUUGGUUUCAAAUUUUGGGUUUCUAAACUACUUAAUGCCGGAUAGGACCAUGGACUGAAAUCUCAAUUAGCUACCGAUAACAGUCAGCGACGAGUUCGGUGUGGUACCAGUGUGUGACCGUGUAUCCAGGCUUGCUCUUGGCUGGUAUUGGUCUAUGUCUCGGUAUACUGUUGGACUAGCCAAUGCCUCCCUACUGUCCAGUACAGAUUGGUAACUAUUUACUGCCUGAAGUCUAGUAUGUUUGAAUUUACCUGACAGGACUGCUCAUACUGGAUCUAAUUGGGUGAAAUUGUGUGGUUCAUGCCAUAAUUGGGUAUUUGACCAGCCUAUACCAACUGGUACAGGUAGAAUUUUAAAACACGAGACCAACUUUGUAUUAAGAUUGGGCACAAAAUUAAAUGAUGGUGUAUGAAUUACCUUAUGAUAGGUUUUCUCUAACUUGGUGCAGCAAGACUCGUUGUUUGUGCUGUGUCUUACCAUAAAGAUUCAGGAAAUAGCUAUUAUAGGUUUUUAUGAUAAAGCCAAAUUUAGUCUAAUUUAUGCUUAUUCCAAUAUUAUCUCAAAAUGCCACCUGCUUGUAGGGUAUAUUGUUAUAUUACUUGGGGUUCAAUGUUGAGGCUAUUGUAUCUUCAAAAAUGAAGUUGUAAUUUUAUCCUGUUUGUAUUAGGUGGAACUUAACAAUGCAUCUUGUGUCUAGCAGAUGUAACCGUCAAGUAGUGAUUGGUUAUGGUCUAUGUCCUAUAAAUUAAUGCUACUCUUCUCGUCUUGGACUCUUGCAUAAUACUUUAGGCCUCAAGGCUUUCUCUGACCCCCUCUUUUCAUCUUCUCCUUUUCAUUGUGUUCAUCAAGACAUCGCUGUUGCUGAGGUGGUAGAUAAUUCUCAACUAUCAAUCUAAGUGAAGCCUUCUGCAUUGUUUAAGAAAUUUCUUUUUCUAAUGAUUGGUUGGUAGAUUGGAGAAAAUUCUUUGACAUUUAAGAUUUUAUUUAUAGGCACUUUGGGACCCAUGAGUUAUCAUGAU